GACGAACGCUGGCGGCGUGCUUAACACAUGCAAGUCGAACGGAAAGGCCCUGCUUUUGUGGGGUGCUCGAGUGGCAAACGGGUGAGUAACACGAGAGUAACCUGCCCUUGACUUUGGGAUAACUUCAGGAAACUGGGGCUAAUACCGGAUAGGAGCUCCUGCUGCAUGGUGGGGGUUGGAAAGUUUCGGCGGUUGGGGAUGGACUCGCGGCUUAUCAGCUUGUUGGUGGGGUAGUGGCUUACCAAGGCUUUGACGGGUAGCCGGCCUGAGAGGGUGACCGGCCACAUUGGGACUGAGAUACGGCCCAGACUCCUACGGGAGGCAGCAGUGGGGAAUAUUGCACAAUGGGCGGAAGCCUGAUGCAGCAACGCCGCGUGCGGGAUGACGGCCUUCGGGUUGUAAACCGCUUUCGCCUGUGACGAAGCGUGAGUGACGGUAAUGGGUAAAGAAGCACCGGCUAACUACGUG
RNAcentral lists this ribosomal RNA (468 nucleotides) under uncultured bacterium. RNAcentral describes it as "partial 16S ribosomal RNA". It matches the Rfam family "Bacterial small subunit ribosomal RNA", at positions 28 to 507 of the family's 1533-position model. The record is from RNAcentral.